This 1262-nucleotide long non-coding RNA is filed under the name Androctonus crassicauda. Lineage: Eukaryota; Metazoa; Arthropoda; Arachnida; Scorpiones; Buthidae. The record is from RNAcentral.
CAAUAUUAAAUUUAGCAUUUAUUUAAUGUUUACAAAAUUUUUCUAAUACAUUUAAAAUUGAAAAAAGUCCAUAGACCUAUAUUAAAUUUUUCAACUGAAAAAUAGCGAAAAUAUCAAGUUAUUUUCGGAAUUUUAUAUUAUUUUAUUGUUGAAGUGAGACUUUAUGAGUUUUAAAUUUCUUGACCCAUUUUUCUAACUUUCAUCGAACUAAAUAUAGAAAUUAUUAAUUAUUGUUUCUACCUAAGAUCAACUAACAGACAAAUAUAUUUUCUAGAAUUAAAUAUCAAAUUAAGCAAAAUCAGAACGUUACAUCAUUUGAAGAGUUCAACAAACGGAAAUAAAUGUCCUACUUCGGUUAAAUUAAAUAAAAAAUUAUUCCUAAAAUGCAUUUAACAGAAUUUUUUUUCAAAUAAACAGUUAAGCGAGAUAAUUAUGUAUGGAAUUUGGAGCAAUUAACGGUUUAAGCUUUUACUUCACUUAAAAAAAAAAUAAAAGUCGAUCUUUAAAUUCGUCUUUUUUUUAUACGGAAAUAAUAAAAUUUCGAAACAAUUAAAAUGCCAGCUCAUCCCACCAAUGUGUUUACAAUAUUAUCACAUGUUGAAUGUCGACCUUUAAGUUGCUCUAGUUUUGUUACUAUAGUAACAGUAAUUUCUACAUCAUCACACUUUAACUUUUCUAUAAUGAAGUAGCCUCAUGUAUCACUUAUGCAACUUACAUGAAUGAAAAAUAUUCUUCACUAAAUUUGCAUAAAUUGCUCACAUGCUAGAACGAAUUAAUCAAAGUAAAACGACGAAAAAUAAAUAAAUCAGCUGUUGUUAUUGCCAUGAAAUAAUAAUGGAUCAUACAAUAAUAGCCUUGAAAUAUAUCUUCUAUACAACUAGAAAGAAAAAUAAGAUGGAUUUGUUGAAAUCUUGUUAUGCUAACCAUGAUCCAAUCUAGUGAAGACUGGCGAGGCCAUUCACCCUUUUCUUUCUAUCAUAUCCUCAUCUUUCACUCAACUCUGGUUAAUUCCCGAAUAAACUCUCAAGAGAAGUUAUCUCUAUCUAGUUCGAUUCUUGACAUAAAAGAGAAUUCGAUAAUAAAUACACUCCAGUUGGAAUUCAGAAAACUAUAUAAAAGUUGUGAGAAGAGGAGUUAUUAAAACUUUUAAAACUAUUAACUCUCAUUAAUCCUUAAUUCUACUGUUUCAUAUUUUUGCCUUUCUGAAUAAAAUUUUCUUUUUUUUUUUUCUUUUCCGUCAAAACAGGUAGAACUGUGACCCG